RNAcentral lists this ribosomal RNA (449 nucleotides) under uncultured bacterium. RNAcentral describes it as "partial 16S ribosomal RNA". It matches the Rfam family "Bacterial small subunit ribosomal RNA", at positions 330 to 793 of the family's 1533-position model. The record is from RNAcentral.
UCCAGACUCCUACGGGAGGCAGCAGUGGGGGAUAUUGCACAAUGGGGGGAACCCUGAUGCAGCGACGCCGCGUGGGUGAAGGAGCGUUUCGGCGCGUAAAGCCCUAUCGGCAGGGAAGAAGGAGGACGGUACCUGACUAAGAAGCCCCGGCUAACUACGUGCCAGCAGCCGCGGUAAUACGUAGGGGGCAAGCGUUAUCCGGAUUUACUGGGUGUAAAGGGGGCGCAGACGGCAGCGCAAGCCAGGAGUGAAAGCCCGGGGCCCAACCCCGGGACUGCUCUUGGAACUGCGCGGCUGGAGUGCAGGAGGGGCAGGCGGAAUUCCUGGUGUAGCGGUGAAAUGCGUAGAUAUCAGGAGGAACACCGGUGGCGAAGGCGGCCUGCUGGACUGCGACUGACGUUGAGGCCCGAAAGCGUGGGGAGCAAACAGGAUUAGAUACCCUUGUAUAG